AUUCGAAACGGCCUACUCGGGCUGUCCGUCGGGGUAGCCGCCCGGCGCUGAAGAGAUAGGCUAUA
This 65-nucleotide non-coding RNA is filed under the name Kroppenstedtia eburnea. The record is from RNAcentral. Lineage: Bacteria; Bacillati; Bacillota; Bacilli; Caryophanales; Thermoactinomycetaceae.